Molecule: ribosomal RNA, 467 nt
Filed under: uncultured bacterium
Lineage: Bacteria
Description: partial 16S ribosomal RNA
Rfam family: Bacterial small subunit ribosomal RNA
Source: RNAcentral
GACGAACGCUGGCGGUAUGCUUAACACAUGCAAGUCGAACGGAAAGGCACUGCUUUUGUGUGGUGCUCGAGUGGCGAACGCGUGAGUAACACGUGAGUAACCUGCCCUUGACUUUGGGAUAGCUUAAGGAAACUGGGGCUAAUACCGGAUAGGAGCUCCUGCUGCUUGGUGGGGGUUGGUAAGUUUCGGCGGUUGGGGAUGGACUCGCGGCUUAGCAGCUUGUUGGUUGGGUAGUGACGUACUCAGGCUUUGAAAGGUAGCCAGCCUGAGAGGGUGAUCGGCCACAGAGGGAAUGAGAUACGGCCCAGACACCGACGAGAGGCAGCAGUGGGGAAUAAUGCUCAAUCAGCGGAAGCCUGUGGCAGAAACGCGGCGUGCGGAAUGUCGGCUUUCGUGAUGUAAACCGCUCUCGCCUGUGACGUAGCGUGAGGGACGGUAAUGAGGAAAGAAGCACCGGCUAACUACGU